UACAGGGGGUGCAAACGUUGCUCGGAAUUAUUAGGCGUAAAGCGCGCGUAGGCGGCUACUUAAGUCGGAUGUGAAAGCCCUUGGCUCAACUGAGGAAGUGCACCCGAAACUGAGUGGCUUGAGUACUAAAGAGGGUCGCGGAAUUCCCGGUGUAGAGGUGAAAUUCGUAGAUAUCGGGAGGAACACCGGUGGCGAAGGCGGCGACCUGGGUAGAUACUGACGCUGAGGCGCGAAAGCGUGGGGAGCAAACAGG
Molecule: ribosomal RNA, 253 nt
Filed under: uncultured bacterium
Lineage: Bacteria
Description: partial 16S ribosomal RNA
Rfam family: Bacterial small subunit ribosomal RNA
Source: RNAcentral